RNAcentral lists this long non-coding RNA (940 nucleotides) under Gossypium barbadense (sea-island cotton). Its description in RNAcentral is "long non-coding RNA (GBAR_LNC001960)". The record is from RNAcentral. Lineage: Eukaryota; Viridiplantae; Streptophyta; Magnoliopsida; Malvales; Malvaceae.
AAGUACAAAUAUAAUCACAAAUAAUAUUCAUAUAUAUAAUUAUAAUCAAAAUCAACAAUUACAAAAGCACAAUCAAAGUGAAAUUAAAAUAUAUCCGAAUUUGAACUAAAAUAAAUCUGAACAAGAUAUGCUACACCGAAAAUGAGACUCGAACCUAAAAUCUCAAAAAACGGUUCUAAUUAAAAAAGUUUACUACUAGACUCCGGGUCCAGUUAAAAACCUGUUAAUAAAAGGGUGAGUUGUAGUGGCGGCUGCUCUGUCAUUAACUGUAGUUUCUGGGAAGUUUCAAUUAGGACAGCGCAACACUUGAAUAAGCUUGACCUUUAUAAAGUGAAGGGCAUAUUCUUCUAACUAUGGAACAAUCCAGGUUUUCUGCUUACCUCCUUUGACUACUCUUCUUCACCACUUUCUGGGUUUCCUUUCUUCUUUGUUUCAUAUAUCAUUUUUGGGUUUCCUUCAAUUCCUUCAUUUUUAUCACUCUUUCAAUAAUCCCUUUCUCAGCCAAUUAAGUUUCUAUGGAUACUACCCUUUUCCAAGAUUUUCCCAGUUCCAUGUAUGCGUUCAAAUUCGAUCAUGGAGCAGUCCCAGUAUAUUCAAAUCACGACUUCGUCAAUAAUAAUAAUGGGUUCAUUAAAGAUAGUCCUCCACAGGUUGUUCCGAGUCCAGACUCACCUGUUGAGUCAUGGACAACAACGAAUUCAGAGGCACAUCCCCUUGACAACAUCCCUUUUGCCAAUGAGAUGCUCAAGUACAUAAAUGAGAUGUUAAUGGAAGAAGACAUGGAAGAAAAGACCUGUAUGUUGCAGGAUUGCUUAGCUCUCCAAGCCGCUGAAAAAUCAUUCUAUGAAGUCCUUGGCCAUGAAUAUCCACUUUCAACGGAUCCUAUCCCUGCAUAUACAGAUCAAACUGGUGGUAGUCCAGGUGAUUUCGACUCCUCUUU